GAGGAAUAUUGGUCAAUGGGCGCAAGCCUGAACCAGCCAUCCCGCGUGAAGGAAGAAUGCGCUAUGCGUUGUAAACUUCUUUUCCAGGGGAAUAAAAUUUUGUACGAGUACGGAAUUGAAGGUACCCUGGGAAUAAGCAUCGGCUAACUCCGUGCCAGCAGCCGCGGUAAUACGGAGGGUGCGAGCGUUAUCCGGAUUUAUUGGGUUUAAAGGGUGCGUAGGCGGAUUGAUAAGUCAGUGGUGAAAACCUGCAGCUUAACUGUAGACUUGCCAUUGAUACUGUCAGUCUUGAGUGUGGUCAAGGUAGGCGGAAUGUGUAAUGUAGCGGUGAAAUGCUUAGAUAUUACACAGAACACCGAUUGCGAAGGCAGCUUGCUGGGCCAUUACUGACGCUGAUGCACGAAAGCGUGGGGAUCGAAC
RNAcentral lists this ribosomal RNA (420 nucleotides) under uncultured bacterium. RNAcentral describes it as "bacterial SSU rRNA". It matches the Rfam family "Bacterial small subunit ribosomal RNA", at positions 356 to 773 of the family's 1533-position model. The record is from RNAcentral.